This 253-nucleotide ribosomal RNA is filed under the name uncultured bacterium. Its description in RNAcentral is "partial 16S ribosomal RNA". It matches the Rfam family "Bacterial small subunit ribosomal RNA", at positions 524 to 776 of the family's 1533-position model. The record is from RNAcentral.
UACGUAGGGUCCGAGCGUUGUCCGGAAUUAUUGGGCGUAAAGAGCUCGUAGGCGGUUUGUCGCGUCUGCUGUGAAAUCCCGAGGCUCAACCUCGGGCCUGCAGUGGGUACGGGCAGACUUGAGUGCGGUAGGGGAGAAUGGAAUUCCUGGUGUAGCAGUGAAAUGCGUAGAUAUCAGGAGGAACACCGAUGGCGAAGGCAGGUCUCUGGGCUGACACUGACGCUCAUGCACGAAAGCGUGGGGAGCAAACAGG